UUUGGAUUGUAUUCUCGUUUGCUGUUUCUUCUAACACGGAAAGAGCCAUUUGAGUUUGUCCUCGUGUUACUGAUUUGGCUUUCUCUAAGUGGUCCUCACAUUUCCUCACAUGUUUCUGAACGAAUUAUAAGAACACGAUAAACCGUAUUUACAGUCUUCUCUCUUAAAACUAUGAAAAUUGUCUUCUGCCAUUUAAGAUCCAGUUUCUGGAUUAAUUGCAUGAACUCAAAGGAGUUGCAAGUUGGUGAAACCUAGAGAAUCGGCUUCUGAAAGCUUCAUUUCUAAAGCAUCAAGAAUAUUAUUCUCAUUGGAAAAUUGCUGCUGAUACCCAUCAAGUGCCUGCUUUCUUCUCCAACCAGAGCAUAAAGAGUCCAUGUUUUUACCCUCUGAGCGUGCCUGUCAUGAGAUGUUCUUCACAAAUCCUUAGAGACCAUAUUCUUCAGCUCCUGACCCAAUCUUGGUAAAUAUAUUCUAAAGUGCUUUAUUGAUGUCUAUUAUUCUUUAUACUUUUACUUAGUUGG
This 521-nucleotide long non-coding RNA is filed under the name Canis lupus familiaris (dog). RNAcentral's name for it is "lncRNA (ENSCAFG00000054684.1)". The record is from RNAcentral. Lineage: Eukaryota; Metazoa; Chordata; Mammalia; Carnivora; Canidae.